RNAcentral lists this ribosomal RNA (292 nucleotides) under uncultured bacterium. RNAcentral's name for it is "partial 16S ribosomal RNA". It matches the Rfam family "Bacterial small subunit ribosomal RNA", at positions 505 to 796 of the family's 1533-position model. The record is from RNAcentral.
GUGCCAGCAGCCGCGGUAAGACAGAGGUGCCGAGCGUUAGGCGGAAUCACUGGGCUUAAAGCGUGUGUAGGCGGGUCGUUAAGUGCUUUGUGAAAUCCCCCGGCUCAACCGGGGAACUGCUUGGCAGACUGGCGACCUUGAGCCACCUAGGGGCAACUGGAACGAACGGUGGAGCGGUGAAAUGCGUAGAUAUCGUUCGGAACGCCAAUGGUGAAAACAGGUUGCUGGGGGUGUGCUGACGCUGAGACACGAAAGCCAGGGGAGCGAACGGGAUUAGAAACCCUUGUAGUCC